AUGGACAUUUGGGCUCUGGAAGGCCACCAAAGGAAGGCCACCAAAAAUUCAGAGAUUUCCAUACCCAACUAUAACAUCUUCCGUCAAGAUAGAACUGCCAAAGGGGGAGGAGUUGCAGUUUACUGCAGAGAUAGCCUGCAAAGUAAUGUCAUACUUUCCAGGUCCAUACCCAAACAGUUCGAACUACUAAUUUUGAAAAUUACUCUCUCCAGAAAUAAGUCUCUCACGGUUGCCGCCUGCUACCGACCCCCCUCAGCUCCCAGCUGUGCCCUGGACACCAUUUGUGAAUUGAUCGCCCCCCAUCUAGCUUCAGAGUUUGUUCUGUUAGGUGACCUAAACUGGGAUAUGCUUAACACCCCGCCAGUCCUACAAUCUAAGCUAGAUGCCCUCAAUCUCACACAAAUCAUCAAGGAACCCACCAGGUACAACCCUAACUCUGUAAACAAGGGCACCCUCAUAGACGUCAUCCUGACCAACUGGCCCUCCAAAUACACCUCCGCUGUCUUCAACCAGGAUCUCAGCGAUCACUGCCUCAUUGCCUGUAUCCGCUACGGAGCCGCAGUCAAACGACCACCCCUCAUCACUGUCAAGCGCUCCCUAAAACACUUCUGUGAGCAGGCCUUUCUAAUCGACCUGGCCCGGGUAUCCUGGAAGGACAUUGACCUCAUCCCGUCAGUUGAGGAUGCCUGGUCAUUCUUUAAAAGUAACUUCCUCACCAUUUUAGAUAAGCAUGCUCCGUUCAAAAAAUGCAGAACUAAGAACAGAUACAGCCCUUGGUUCACCCCAGACCUGACUGCCCUCGACCAGCACAAAAACAUCCUGUGGCGGACUGCAAUAGCAUCGAAUAGUCCCCGUGAUAUGCAACUGUUCAGGGAAGUCCGGAACCAAUACACGCAGUCAGUCUCCAAUCGACAUCUCCAAUCGAAAAUCAAAUCAAGAGUCGGCUUUCUAUUCCGCAACAAAGCCUCCUUCACUCAAGCCGCCAAGCUUACCCUAGUAAAACUGACUAUCCUACCGAUCCUCGACUUCGGCGAUGUCAUCUACAAAAUGGCUUCCAACACUCUACUCAGCAAACUGGAUGCAGUCUAUCACAGUGCCAUCCGUUUUGUCACUAAAGCACCUUAUACCACCCACCACUGCGACUUGUAUGCUCUAGUCGGCUGGCCCUCGCUACAUAUUCGUCGCCAGACCCACUGGCUCCAGGUCAUCUACAAGUCUAUGCUAGGUAAAGCUCCGCCUUAUCUCAGCUCACUGGUCACGAUGGCAACACCCAUCCGUAGCACGCGCUCCAGCAGGUGUAUCUCACUGAUCAUCCCUAAAGCCAACACCUCAUUUGGCCGCCUUUCGUUCCAGUACUCUGCUGCCUGUGACUGGAACGAAUUGCAAAAAUCGCUGAAGUUGGAGACUUUUAUCUCCCUCACCAACUUCAAACAUCAGCUAUCUGAGCAGCUAACCGAUCGCUGCAGCUGUACAUAG
Molecule: long non-coding RNA, 1476 nt
Filed under: Oncorhynchus kisutch (coho salmon)
Lineage: Eukaryota; Metazoa; Chordata; Actinopteri; Salmoniformes; Salmonidae
Description: lncRNA (ENSOKIG00005047808.1)
Source: RNAcentral